RNAcentral lists this long non-coding RNA (529 nucleotides) under Nicotiana benthamiana. RNAcentral's name for it is "long non-coding RNA (NBEN_LNC002768)". The record is from RNAcentral. Lineage: Eukaryota; Viridiplantae; Streptophyta; Magnoliopsida; Solanales; Solanaceae.
UAUAUAUAUAUAUAUAUACUCCUAUUUCCAACCGUCCACGACCUGAGGUCAAGCAAUAAAUAAUCCAAAACACAAAUUACUACAACAACAGCAGAUCCGAGUAAUCCCACAAAGUGGGGGUUUGGGGAAGGUGAAAUGUACGCAGACCCUAGCACAGACCUUAGCCUUAGCUUAGAAGGUAGAGAUACACAAAUUAAAGAUAAAACUAUUCAAAAAAAACAAACAGAUAAUCUUAAAAAUAUGAAAAAACUUCUAUUAUGCACCGUAUGAAUGAAGAUCAUACAAUGAUGGGCGAAGCGAAUGCAGCCUAUUUAGGGGUUCAAUUGAACUUGCGAAUUUUGACACAAAUCAUAUAUAGAUAUAUAGUGAAAAGUACAUAUUGAUUUAAUACACAAUAUUGACAAGUACAUACCCAUUGGAGCUCUCAUUGUUAAGAGACAAAAGGAAAAAGUUUUUGUGUGUUAAGAGUGGAGAUUGUAAAGAAAUUGAGAGAUAGAUUUUAAUUUCGUAGGGUGAUAGUAGGGUUUUG